RNAcentral lists this unclassified non-coding RNA (206 nucleotides) under soil metagenome. RNAcentral's name for it is "partial contains 5.8S ribosomal RNA, internal transcribed spacer 2, and large subunit ribosomal RNA". The record is from RNAcentral.
AACCUAGCACACCUGCGGUGUGUACCUGCGGAAGGAUCAUUACUGAGUGUGACCCUCUUAUAGAGGGUGCCUCCCGUCCUUGCAGGCCCCUAGGGCUUUUGACUUUGCUUCGGCGGCACCCCCGCCGGAACAACCCCAAGAAAAUCUCAAUUAAAACCGUUCCGUCCGAGGGCUUGUAAAUAAUCAAAACUUUCAACAAUGGAUCU